UUAAAAAGCUCGUAGUUGGAUUUCUGUGGGGACGGAGCGGCCGGCCGCUACUAGCGGUUCGAGCUAGCGCUUUCCCUACAUCCUGCCGCGAACCGUGAUACCAUUAGUUUGGUGGCGCCGGGGAUCGGCUCGUUUACUUUGAGAAAAAUAGAGUGUUCAAAGCAGGCCACACGCCUUGAAUAAGUUAGCAUGGAAUAAUAACUAAGGACUUCGGUUCUAUUUUGUUGGUGUUCGGGACUGAAGUAAUGAUUGAUAGGGACAGUUGGGGGCGGUCCGUAUUCCAAAGCGAGAGGUGAAAUUCUUAGACCUUCGGAAGACGAACAGCCUGCGAAAAGA
RNAcentral lists this ribosomal RNA (336 nucleotides) under uncultured marine eukaryote. RNAcentral's name for it is "bacterial SSU rRNA". It matches the Rfam family "Eukaryotic small subunit ribosomal RNA", at positions 619 to 953 of the family's 1831-position model. The record is from RNAcentral.